RNAcentral lists this transfer RNA (84 nucleotides) under Candidatus Pacebacteria bacterium CG10_big_fil_rev_8_21_14_0_10_42_12. RNAcentral's name for it is "tRNA-Leu". It matches the Rfam family "tRNA". Rfam says of the family: Transfer RNA (tRNA) molecules are approximately 80 nucleotides in length. Their secondary structure includes four short double-helical elements and three loops (D, anti-codon, and T loops). The record is from RNAcentral. Lineage: Bacteria; Bacillati; Minisyncoccota.
GCCCGGGUGGUGAAAUGGUAUACACGUACGCUUGAGGGGCGUAUGCCGCAAGGUGUGGAGGUUCGACUCCUCUCCCGGGCACAA